RNAcentral lists this long non-coding RNA (1025 nucleotides) under Anas platyrhynchos platyrhynchos (common mallard). Its description in RNAcentral is "lncRNA (ENSAPLG00000021259.1)". Lineage: Eukaryota; Metazoa; Chordata; Aves; Anseriformes; Anatidae. The record is from RNAcentral.
AUGCUGCUACGAGACAUCUAUUUCUGUAAAGCUACGGCAAUGCAGCAGAGCUCAGGAAAAGCUCAAGACCGACUUAUUCCAGUCUUGUCUUCAUUUUAAAAUUUGUACCAUGAGAAGUUCAAAAGCUUUUUCCACAUUGUUUGUGAGGUUUCUCCAGAGGGAGUAUUUCUGGCUCUGGUUAGAAAAGAACUCCCUGUCUUGCUAAAGAUUGACAAUUAUGUACAUUUUUGGCCUCUAACUUAAGCAAGCCAGCAGGCCCUCGGGGUGCUUAAAGCCCUGUUAUGGACAGAAAGUUACUUCUAAAGAACAUUUUUUAAACGCUAUUUGAAAUCUAGGCUCUGAUACAGCGAUAAGCUGUUUUGAAAACAGAGCUCAUGUAGGUCAUAUUUAUCUUAACUGCUCCACAAGUUGUUCUCUAUUUUGAGACAGACACGUCUUCUAGCUCGGAACAAGGGGCUCGGAGGUAAAGAAAGUCUCUUCGGUGUUUCAGAGGGCCACAGCCAUUACAUGACCUUUUUACUGUGCAGCUGAUCUGUGCUUCCUGGCCCCGUGUCAUCACGGCUCAGCAUCGUGACAUGCUGAAAGAUCAUCACGGUGGAAACAAUGCAGAGCAGCAUUUGGAUGGUGUGGCGGCCUGCCCUGCUUAUUUUGUAUUGCCUAGAAACUAUUAUCCAGAGCACAACAGAGGACCUCAAGAACUGUCCCUGGAGCUACAAAGAUGUGUUUUAUUAAAGGACUGGACAUUUUAUCUCUGUGUGGAGAUGCAGGUUCUUUUCCCUUUCUCCAGCUGGCUAGCACAAUUUUUGAUAUCCUCGAUGUCUUUUUCUUGUGAAGGCAGUUGUACUAGCAAGAGAGAUUCCAAGAAAAAGCUUAGGACACUUGCUGCUCUGAGAGGAGAAACCUGCCUCGGCAAUUUAAGAGAGGAAGGAAAAGAUAAUAGUGAGGGAGUUCUUGAACUGAUAACGCCGACUAUUGAGGUGUUAUUCCUCAACAGACUUUGGGUUCUGAUUUUUUUCUUUUUAUGA